This 494-nucleotide ribosomal RNA is filed under the name uncultured bacterium. RNAcentral's name for it is "partial 16S ribosomal RNA". It matches the Rfam family "Bacterial small subunit ribosomal RNA", at positions 28 to 507 of the family's 1533-position model. The record is from RNAcentral.
GACGAACGCUGGCGGCGUGCUUGACACAUGCAAGUCGAACGGAAAGGCCUGCUUUCCCUUGUGGAUUGCGGGUACUCGAGUGGCGAACGGGUGAGUAACACGUGAGUGAUCUGCCCCCAACUUGGGUAUAAGCCUGGGAAACUGGGUCUAAUUCCCGAUAGGACUGCAGGGUGGUGCCUGUGGUGGAAAACGAUUUUCUAGUGGUUGGGGAUGAGCUCGCGGCCUAUCAGCUUGUUGGUGGGGUAAUGGCCUACCAAGGCGGCGACGGGUAGCCGGCCUGGGAGGGGGGACGGCAAAAUUGGAACGGAGAAACGGCCAAAACUCCUACGGGAGGCAGCAGUGGGGAAUACGGCACAAUGGGGGGAAGCCUGAUGAAGCGACGCCGCGUGGGGGAUGACGGCCUUCGGGUUGUAAACUCCUUUCGACCGCGAGGAAGCCACCUGGUUGGAAGGGUGGUGACGGUAGUGGUAGAAGAAGCACCGGCUAACUACGUG